This 658-nucleotide ribosomal RNA is filed under the name uncultured Actinomycetes bacterium. Its description in RNAcentral is "bacterial SSU rRNA". It matches the Rfam family "Bacterial small subunit ribosomal RNA", at positions 52 to 706 of the family's 1533-position model. Lineage: Bacteria; Bacillati; Actinomycetota; Actinomycetes. The record is from RNAcentral.
CACAUGCAAGUCGAACGCUGAAGGCCCAGCUUGCUGGGUUGGAUGAGGGGCGAACGGGUGAGUAACACGUGAGUAACCUGCCCCCUUCUUUGGGAUAACGGUCGGAAACGGCUGCUAAUACCGGGUAUUCACUGUCCUUCGCAUGGGGGGUGGUGGAAAGGUUUUUUCUGGUGGGGGAUGGGCUCGCGGCCUACCAGCUUGUUGGUGGGGUGAUGGCUUACCAAGGCUUUGACGGGUAACCGGCCUGAGAGGGUGACCGGUCACAUUGGGACUGAGAUACGGCCCAGACUCCUACGGGAGGCAGCAGUGGGGAAUAUUGCACAAUGGGCGAAAGCCUGAUGCAGCGACGCCGCGUGAGGGAUGACGGCCUUCGGGUUGUAAACCUCUUUCGCUCAUGGUCAAGCCGCAACAGUGGUUGUGGUGAGGGUAGUGGGUAAAGAAGCACCGGCUAACUACGUGCCAGCAGCCGCGGUAAUACGUAGGGUGCGAGCGUUGUCCGGAAUUAUUGGGCGUAAAGGGCUUGUAGGCGGUUUGUCGCGUCUGCCGUGAAAUCCUCUGGCUUAACUGGGGGCGUGCGGUGGGUACGGGCAGGCUUGAGUGCGGUAGGGGAGACUGGAACUCCUGGUGUAGCGGUGGAAUGCGCAGAUAUCAGGAAGAA